This 500-nucleotide ribosomal RNA is filed under the name uncultured Actinomycetes bacterium. Its description in RNAcentral is "bacterial SSU rRNA". It matches the Rfam family "Bacterial small subunit ribosomal RNA", at positions 355 to 866 of the family's 1533-position model. The record is from RNAcentral. Lineage: Bacteria; Bacillati; Actinomycetota; Actinomycetes.
UGGGGAAUAUUGCACAAUGGGCGCAAGCCUGAUGCAGCGACGCCGCGUGAGGGAUGACGGCCUUCGGGUUGUAAACCUCUUUCGCCAGGGACGAAGCGCAAGUGACGGUACCUGGAGAAGAAGGACCGGCCAACUACGUGCCAGCAGCCGCGGUAAUACGUAGGGUCCGAGCGUUGUCCGGAAUUACUGGGCGUAAAGAGCUCGUAGGUGGUUUGUCGCGUUGUUCGUGAAAACUCACAGCCAACUGUGGGCGUGCGGGCGAUACGGGCAGACUGGAGUACUGCAGGGGAGACUGGAAUUCCUGGUGUAGCGGUGGAAUGCGCAGAUAUCAGGAGGAACACCGGUGGCGAAGGCGGGUCUCUGGGCAGUAACUGACGCUGAGGAGCGAAAGCGUGGGGAGCGAACAGGAUUAGAUACCCUGGUAGUCCACGCCGUAAACGGUGGGUACUAGGUGUGGGUUUCCUUCCUUGGGAUCCGUGCCGUAGCUAACGCAUUAAGUA